This is a non-coding RNA of Armillaria borealis, 102 nucleotides long. Lineage: Eukaryota; Fungi; Basidiomycota; Agaricomycetes; Agaricales; Physalacriaceae. The record is from the annotation of a GenBank genome assembly.
GGGUCGAUGGCGUAGCUGGUUAUCGCAUCUGUCUAACAUGUAAUACCCUGGUUGAGCAUUUGUCUUCACAGAAGGUCCUCAGUUCGAACCUGGGUCGACUCA